RNAcentral lists this ribosomal RNA (449 nucleotides) under uncultured bacterium. RNAcentral describes it as "bacterial SSU rRNA". It matches the Rfam family "Bacterial small subunit ribosomal RNA", at positions 29 to 526 of the family's 1533-position model. The record is from RNAcentral.
AACGAACGCUGGCGGCAGGCUUAACACAUGCAAGUCGAGCGCCCCGCAAGGGGAGCGGCAGACGGGUGAGUAACGCGUGGGAACGUACCCUUUUCUACGGAAUAACGCAUGGAAACGUGUGCUAAUACCGUAUGUGCCCUUCGGGGGAAAGAUUUAUCGGAAAAGGAUCGGCCCGCGUUGGAUUAGCUAGUUGGUGGGUAAAGGCCUACCAAGGCGACGAUCCAUAGCUGGUCUGAGAGGAUGAUCAGCCACAUUGGGACUGAGACACGGCCCAAACUCCUACGGGAGGCAGCAGUGGGGAAUAUUGGACAAUGGGCGCAAGCCUGAUCCAGCCAUGCCGCGUGGGUGAUGAAGGCCCUAGGGUUGUAAAGCCCUUUCGGCGGGGAAGAUAAUGACGGUACCCGCAGAAGAAGCCCCGGCUAACUUCGUGCCAGCCGCCGCUGUAACAC